GGAAGUAAAAGUCGUAACAAGGUUUCCGUAGGUGAACCUGCGGAAGGAUCAUUAGUGAACGCCCUCACGGGCUUAUAACUAUUCCAAACCUCUGUGAACCGUGCCCUUCGGGGCUAUUUUACAAACAUGGUGUAAUGAACGUCAUAUAUCAUAACAAAACAAAACUUUCAACAACGGAUCUCUUGGCUCUCGCAUCGAUGAAGAACGCAGCGAAAUGCGAUAAGUAAUGUGAAUUGCAGAAUUCAGUGAAUCAUCGAAUCUUUGAACGCACCUUGCGCCCUCUGGUAUUCCGGAGGGCAUGCCUGUUUGAGUGUCAUGUAGACUCAAUCCCUCGGGUUUCCGAGGAGAUUGGACUUGGGUGUUGCCGCUCUGCCGGCUCGCCUUAAAAGACUUAGCGGGAUAGCACCGUAGUCGGCGUAAUAAGUUUCGUCGGUGAAGGUUGUGAUGACUGCUUACAAUCGCCCUCGGGCAAUUUUUGACUCUGACCUCAAAUCAGGUAGGACUACCCGCUGAACUUAAGCAUAUCAAUAAGCGGAGGA
This 539-nucleotide ribosomal RNA is filed under the name uncultured fungus. Its description in RNAcentral is "eukaryotic LSU rRNA". The stretch from base 163 to 316 matches the Rfam family "5.8S ribosomal RNA". Lineage: Eukaryota; Fungi. The record is from RNAcentral.